Gymnodraco acuticeps is the source of this 473-nucleotide long non-coding RNA. RefSeq lists it as uncharacterized. NCBI's taxonomy places the organism in Eukaryota, Metazoa, Chordata, Actinopteri, Perciformes, Bathydraconidae. The transcript is spliced from 3 exons. The record is from RefSeq and is a predicted model, not a curated record.
UGUUGUUGUGAAGACGGAAGUGAGAGGAGGACUUCCCUCUGGACAAUUCUUCAUUUGGAAACAGUUAAAGUAAUACACCACCACCUGCUCAGUCAUGACUACUGCGUACAAAAACAGGCCCGGCAUAUGCACUCCAGCGGGUCGAGCGGUCUCGUGUGGACGGACACGUUUCUUGAGUGGACGGAAGACUUUUCUGCCAACGUCUACGGUUCCCUCUCCUCCGCAGGUAUUCUGAACGCCACGUAAGGACACGUCCUGGUGUUCAGACACACCAGCUUCUUCAGCGUGGCAGAGUUCACUAUGUCGAAGCCCACGCGGCCCCCGAAGGUGCUGGGCUUCCAGUAGUGUGGAGAACAUAUGGGGUUUCCGAGGAGGCCUUUCAAGGAGAAGGGGGCCCCCAUCUCCACCAUGCUCUCUCCAAAGAGGGCCCCCGGUCGAGUUUGCUCCAGCAUCAAGCCGGGGUAAAACUCCAG